GGCGUUGUCAGUUUAUUUUCGAUCUAUGAGUUGAUUGUCCCUCUGAUAUCUUUCGCCACUCCUUUAUGUCUCAAUUCAAACGGAUACCGUUUAAACAAAGUCCCCAACGUUUAGCUUAAACUAUUAAUUUUCAUUAAUGUAAGUCAGGGACAGAUCCAGGUGAGGACGUAAUGGGUGUACUCCCCUCCCCUUUAAAAACUAAAAAAAAAACUAACGUCAUCUCUUAAGUUGACCAAGAAUGAUAUGAGAACACCGUCAAUAAGGAUGGUUUAAAUGCUCUGCUUCUUCUUUAUGUUCAAAGAGACAUUAACCUCGAUUAUGAUAAAGUAAUUGACGAUUACGCCAUAAAAACCUCCCAUCUAGAUAGCCUUUGGUAGUAUCAUAUUGUUUCAAUAUCCAUUAGUGAGUAACUCAAUGACAUUGACCUACAUGUUGUCAUAACGUUCAAGCACCAUGUAUAAUUAUGUACCAUAUACCACCUAUCGGAACUAGACAGUGAUAUGAUAUUGUUUUAAUUUGGUACUGUAGUACAAUGACGUCAAUUUUUCAUAUUCAAUCAUGUUUUCCACAUUAAAGCCUAC
Molecule: long non-coding RNA, 581 nt
Filed under: Mytilus galloprovincialis (Mediterranean mussel)
Lineage: Eukaryota; Metazoa; Mollusca; Bivalvia; Mytilida; Mytilidae
Source: RNAcentral